AGAGUUUGAUCCUGGCUCAGGACGAACGCUGGCGGCGUGCCUAACACAUGCAAGUCGAACGAACUCGGGACUUCGGUUUUGAGUUUAGUGGCGAACGGGUGAGUAACGCGUGAGGAACCUCCUUUCAGUGGGGGACAACAGUUGGAAACGACUGCUAAUACCGCAUAAUGUGUUUUGGGGCAUCCCCGAGACACCAAAGCUUUAUGUGCUGAAAGAUGGCCUCGCGUCUGAUUAGAUAGUGGUGAGGUAACGGCUCACCAAGUCUGCGAUCAGUAGCCGGUCUGAGAGGAUGAACGGCCAAUUGGGACUGAGAUACGGCCCAGACUCCUACGGGAGGCAGCAGUGGGGAAUAUUGGGCAAGGGGGAAACCCUGACCCAGCAACGCCGCGUGAAGGAAGAAGGCCUUCGGGUUGUAAACUUUUUUAGCAGGGACGAAGAACGUGACGGUACCUGCAGAAAAAGCAACGGCUAACUACGUGCAGCAGCCGCGGUAAUACGUAGGUUGCAAGCGUUGUCCGGAAUUACUGGGUGUAAAGGGCGGUAGGCGGAGAUGCAAGUUGGGAGUGAAAUCCCGGGGCUCAACCCCGGAACUGCUUUCAAACUGUAUCCCUUGAGUGUCGGAGAGGCAAGCGGAAUUCCUAGUGUAGCGGUGAAAUGCGUGAUAUUAGGAGGAACACCAGUGGCGAACGCGGCUUGCUGGACGAUAACUGACGCUGAGGCCGAAAGCGUGGGGAGCAAACAGGAUUAGAUACCCUGGUAGUCCACGCUGUAAACGAUGAAACUAGGUGUGGGAGGACUGACCCCUUCCGUGCCGCAGUUUACACAAUAGUAUUCCACCUGGGAGUACGACCGC
RNAcentral lists this ribosomal RNA (853 nucleotides) under uncultured bacterium. RNAcentral's name for it is "bacterial SSU rRNA". It matches the Rfam family "Bacterial small subunit ribosomal RNA", at positions 8 to 889 of the family's 1533-position model. The record is from RNAcentral.